Long non-coding RNA from Macadamia integrifolia, 900 nucleotides. RefSeq lists it as uncharacterized. The transcript has 3 exons. The record is from RefSeq and is a predicted model, not a curated record. NCBI's taxonomy places the organism in Eukaryota, Viridiplantae, Streptophyta, Magnoliopsida, Proteales, Proteaceae.
CUCAUAUAAAGUUUAAAAUUAGUAGUUGUACAAGAUAAUUUUCCUUAAAUAUAUAAUAAUCAAAAGUUAGCUGAAAAAACGUAUCGUAUGAUGCCUUUCCAUCUUCUUGAAUUGGUUAAGUUCAUCAGAAAUUAAUGCUCGUCUAAUUUGGAACUCAUGAAUGGGUUGCAAAAGGUGUUUUUUUUUUUUUUAAGAUGUAAAUUGAGAGAAAAGAAGACGUAAGCAGGGAGAUGAAGAGCAAUGGUUCGCAGCCAAGGAUCUGGGAAUGGUGAUUUGUAAUAGUACAAAGAGAUGCACAAGAUUCCCAAAUUUAUAGACUAAGCAGUUUCUGGAUUUCUGAUCUGUUGAUCUUUAUGAUCGCUGGAGGUUACGCGGAUCAAGGAUAUACCGUUUGGCUAGAGGAUUCAUGUUUCUGGAGCGUUUUUUGGAUUUUUUAGGCCGUAGGAGAUAUGAUGGUGUUCGCGGUUCCUGUGAAUCUUUCGUCGCUGGAUGAGUAGAAGUGUAGAACAGAUCCUUGAAGGCGGUUCCAGGUAUUUGCCGUAGGGGAUAUGAUGGUGUUCACAGCUAAGGAUCUGGGAACGGUAAGAGAGAGAGAGACAUUGAACAUUAUGACAAAUUCCCACCAUUUUUCCAUUUUGAUAGGAUUUUGGAAGAGGGUGGGGUGAAGGUCACGUCAAGGGAAAACUCAUUUCCCACACUUUUUAGUGAAUUCUAACCGUUCAAUCAAUCGAAGGAAUCUCGCUAACCUGCAUGCACAAACAGUUAGUGGAAGGCACUAGGUUGAACCGGUGCAAUAAUCGUCUGAAGCUUAAGUCAAAUCUGCAACAAGUAAUUCUCUUUAAUGAUUUUUUCAAUCCCCUCUCAGUGGAGGUUUAUCUCCUAUAUUUAUAGGCCAUGUAC